AUGCAGAUUUGUAUGUUGUGGAGUUUGAAAAAAGGGGGUUUGCCACAUACUCACACGUUGGUGUGGCUGAAGGCAGAUACCAAGGAUCCGUCUCCUUCUUUUAUAGAUGGCCUUAUUUCUGCAGAGCUGCCGGGCCCUUUGGUUGAUCCUUUGGGUUAUGCUCUUGUUGAUAAAUUUAUGGUACAUGGACCUUGUGGGGCAUAUAAUGCUAAGUGCGCUUGCAUGAAGAACAAUAGUUGUUCCAAGCGCUUUCCUAAGCCUCUAAGCGAUGAUACAAUGAUUGAUCAUGUUGGAUAUACAGUUUAUCGUCGACGUGACACUGGAUUGUAUGUCCUCAGGCAGAAAGACACGCUCCGUUUGGGAAAUCAAUGGGUUGUUCCAUACAACUUGAAUUUGUUGAAGAGGUUCGACGCUCAUAUAAAUGUGGAGUGGUGUAAUAAGACAAAAUUAUUGAAAUAUUUAUUCAAAUAUCUCACGAAGGGUCAUGAUGUAGUUCGCAUGCGUUUUCAUGCUGAAGACAUGCCUCCUGGUGUGUUCACUGUGCCAUGUCCUACCGGUAGAAAUGAAAUCGACGACUAUAUCAAAUGCAGGGACCUGUCUGCCUGUGAGGCCUUUUGGAGGUUGUUUGCGUAUAGUAUCCAUGGUAGUCAGCCUUCUGUCGAGCGUCUGGUUGUUCACUUACCUAACAUGAAUAGGGUCAUAUUUGCGGAGACUGAUAGUUUAGGAAAUGUUCUGGAGGAUUCUUCGUCAACUAAGACUAUGCUUACUGAGUGGUUUGCUACCAACCGGAAGCAUGUGUCUGCUAGGUCUUUAACAUACCUUGAUUUUCCGAGUGAGUGGGUUUGGAAUAAAAGUUCUAAAGUGUGGACGAAGCGGAAGCGCCCAGACAGCGACGAUCCCAUUAUCACAUAUACAGGCACACAUCCUCCCGUCGGACGUAUGCAAGAACUUGCAAAAUCACUUUAUCAUUACAUCACAGGCACCAAUCCUGCAGGAGGAUAUACUAGGAUGAUCUAA
RNAcentral lists this ribosomal RNA (1017 nucleotides) under Triticum aestivum (bread wheat). RNAcentral describes it as "partial small subunit ribosomal RNA". Lineage: Eukaryota; Viridiplantae; Streptophyta; Magnoliopsida; Poales; Poaceae. The record is from RNAcentral.